AGUGAACGCUGGCGGUAGGCCUAACACAUGCAAGUCGAACGGCAGCACAGUAAGAGCUUGCUCUUACGGGUGGCGACUGGCGGACGGGUGAGGAAUACAUCGGAAUCUACUUUUUCGUGGGGGAUAACGUAGGGAAACUUACGCUACUACCGCAUACGACCUACGGGUGAAAGCAGGGGAUCUUCGGACCUUGCCCGAUUGAAUGAGCCGAUGUCGGAUUAGCUAGUUGGCGGGGUAAAGGCCCACCAAGGCGACGAUCCGUAGCUGGUCUGAGAGGAUGAUCAGCCACACUGGAACUGAGACACGGUCCAGACUCCUACGGGAGGCAGCAGUGGGGAAUAUUGGACAAUGGGCGCAAGCCUGAUCCAGCCAUACCGCGUGGGUGAAGAAGGCCUUCGGGUUGUAAAGCCCUUUUGUUGGGAAAGAAAAGCAGCAGGUUAAUACCCCGCUGUUCUGACGGUACCCAAAGAAUAAGCACCGGCUAACUUCGUG
Molecule: ribosomal RNA, 492 nt
Filed under: uncultured bacterium
Lineage: Bacteria
Description: partial 16S ribosomal RNA
Rfam family: Bacterial small subunit ribosomal RNA
Source: RNAcentral